Vicia faba (fava bean) is the source of this 258-nucleotide non-coding RNA. The record is from the annotation of a GenBank genome assembly. Lineage: Eukaryota; Viridiplantae; Streptophyta; Magnoliopsida; Fabales; Fabaceae.
AUGGAAAGACUAUUAUUGUACAAAACCAAUGAAAUAUUUAGCCACCGCAACACAACAUACCAAACCCCUGCAAACACUGGACAUUCAAAGAAAAGACGAGGCACUGACUCUUCCUUACCCCACUCUCCUACACAUAGGACGGAUCCUUGUACAAUAACUCAUCUCCUAAACAAGUUAUCUCUCAAAGCUAUUUUAUUCUGGAAAAUCCCCCAGGCUAAACAUGAGACUUUGAUAGAAUCUCUUUACACCAUGCCUUAG